Molecule: ribosomal RNA, 1544 nt
Filed under: seawater metagenome
Description: bacterial LSU rRNA
Rfam family: Bacterial large subunit ribosomal RNA
Source: RNAcentral
AAAGCCGUAGUCGAUGGGAAGCUGGUUAAUAUUCCAGCACUUGUAAUUAUUGCGAUGGAGGGACGGAGAAGGCUAGGCUAGCGCGGCGAUGGUUGUCCGCGUGAGAAGGUGUAGGCUGAGAUCUUAGGUAAAUCCGGGAUCUCUUAAGGCUGAGGCCGAGGACGAACCGAGUCUUUGUACUCGGGAAGUAGUUAAUGCCAUGCUUCCAGGAAAAGCUUCUAAGCUUCAGAUAAUUACGAAUCGUACCCCAAACCGACACAGGUGGUCAGGUAGAGAAUACCAAGGCGCUUGAGAGAACUCGGGUGAAGGAACUAGGCAAAAUGGUACCGUAACUUCGGGAGAAGGUACGCCGCUUUCGGUGAUGGGACUUGCUCCCUAAGCUGAGGGCGGUCGAAGAUACCAGGUGGCUGCGACUGUUUACUAAAAACACAGCACUCUGCAAACUCGUAAGAGGACGUAUAGGGUGUGACGCCUGCCCGGUGCUUGAAGGUUAAUUGAUGGGGUUAUCUUCGGAGAAGCUCUUGAUCGAAGCCCAAGUAAACGGCGGCCGUAACUAUAACGGUCCUAAGGUAGCGAAAUUCCUUGUCGGGUAAGUUCCGACCUGCACGAAUGGCGUAACGAUGGCCACACUGUCUCCACCCGAGACUCAGUGAAAUUGAAUUUGCGGUUAAGAUGCCGUAUACCCGCGGCUAGACGGAAAGACCCCGUGCACCUUUACUACAGCUUUGCACUGGACUUUGAUUUUACCUGUGUAGGAUAGGUGGGAGACUUUGAAGCGCUGUCGCUAGAUAGCGUGGAGUCGACCUUGAAAUACCACCCUGGUAACGUUGAGGUUCUAACUUCGGUCCCUUAUCGGGAUUAAGGACAGUGUAUGGUGGGUAGUUUGACUGGGGCGGUCUCCUCCCAAAGAGUAACGGAGGAGCGCGAAGGUACCCUCAGCAUGGUCGGAAAUCAUGCAACGAGUGCAAUAGCAGAAGGGUGCUUGACUGCGAGACAGACACGUCGAGCAGGUACGAAAGUAGGUUAUAGUGAUCCGGUGGUUCUGUAUGGAAGGGCCAUCGCUCAACGGAUAAAAGGUACGCCGGGGAUAACAGGCUGAUACCGCCCAAGAGUUCACAUCGACGGCGGUGUUUGGCACCUCGAUGUCGGCUCAUCACAUCCUGGGGCUGAAGCCAGUCCCAAGGGUAUGGCUGUUCGCCAUUUAAAGUGGUACGCGAGCUGGGUUUAGAACGUCGUGAGACAGUUCGGUCCCUAUCUGCCGUGGGCGUUUGAGAAUUGAGAGGAGCUGCUCCUAGUACGAGAGGACCGGAGUGGACGAACCUCUGGUGUUCCGGUUGUCACGCCAGUGGCAUUGCCGGGUAGCUACGUUCGGAAAGGAUAACCGCUGAAAGCAUCUAAGCGGGAAGCCCCCCUCAAGAUUAAUUCUCACUGGGACUUUAAGUCCCCUAAAGAGCCGUUGAAGACUACAACGUUGAUAGGCUGGGUGUGUAAGCGCUGUGAGGCGUUGAGCUAACCAGUACUAAUUGCUCGUGAGGCUUGAUCAU